Long non-coding RNA from Lagenorhynchus albirostris (white-beaked dolphin), 1596 nucleotides. RefSeq lists it as uncharacterized. Lineage: Eukaryota; Metazoa; Chordata; Mammalia; Artiodactyla; Delphinidae. The transcript is spliced from 4 exons. The record is from RefSeq and is a predicted model, not a curated record.
UUCAGAAGCAGAAGCUUGUGACUUGGCACCUGCUUCUGGAAGCCUCCAUAGACAGACCUUCUCAGAUGAUGCUACACCCUUGAGGCAGGAAGGAUAGGUCUGGAGGCGAGAGCAGGGCUCUCGAGACCCAAGAGGCCGAGUAGAGUGUCUGUCCUCUUGGGCCUGAGGUUUCCUGCUCGUCAGUGGGAAUCUCGGCCCGCACCCAGAGGACUCCUGACAUGUGCACUGACCAUGCUGCAAGGUGACCUUCUGCAUCCUGCAGUGGUGGAUGGUGAGGACCAUUGGUAACCAAGCAGAUGAAGUCCUGGGAGGUACAAAUGAGGAAGGUCAGCCCUGUCCUUGGCUGUCCCUUCAGACAGCUUCAUUGCCGGCCAGUCAUGCCUUCUAGCCCAGGGGCUGCACUGGCAGUGAUUUGGGGCCUGAUUAGGGGAAGGCGGGUGGUGCUGCAGACUGAAGAGGAGCUGCUUUUGCCUGGCCCAUCCAUCUCUCCAGAGCCAGCCUCCCGCCUUCCCACUCCCACUCAGUCAGUCUUAUAUAGGCAGCGCUGGCAAAAAUUACAGGUCAACUGGCGUUUCAGUUCAGUGGGACUCCCCAUGGCACAGUCAGAAGGGGCAGAGGCCCUUUCUGGACCGUUUAUCUGUCUGAGACUUACUGAGCCCUGCUAGUUUCUUCUCAGUAUUCCCACCUCUCCUCUAGAACCCUGACUUUAACUGGGAAUAACGGCACCUUUCCAAUGGAUUAAAUUUCCCAGCUUGCCUUGGAGUUCAGUGUAGCCACCUAGUAAGGUCAGGCCAAUGAAAUGUAAGCUGAGUUAUUGUGUGGGACUGCUGGAAAGUUUCCUUAAGGAAGGAGUAAUACACAUGUCUGUGCUUUCUUGUUCUGAAUGCAGAAUUCAGACGUGAUAGCUGGAGCUCAAGCAACCGUCUUUGACCAUGAAGUAGACACACCAAGCCUAGUGAAGUAGCUAAGUAGAAGGAGUUUGAGCCUCUGAUGAUGACAGUGCCACGAAACUUUCCCUACGUUGCACACCUGCAGACAUUUUUCAUGAGAGAUACUCUUUCAGGUGAUGGUGACACAGCAGUGAGGAUGGUACAUAUGGUAACCUGCCCUGUAUACUCCCGUUCUAGUGGAGAGAGAACCACAAAUGAUGAAACGCAAUAAUUCCAGGAAAUAAUCAGUGCUGUGAAGUACAGAAAGCAAGCAUGGUGGUCCUGGGGUGUGAGACUUCUUAAGAACCAGCAUCCUUAGAGUACCAUCUGGAAGCUGCAUGACCUUUCUGACCUGAGUCACGCUGUCUCUCUUCCAUUGCAUAUUAUUGGUUGCAGGAAUCAGCCUCAAAUCCAGGACAACCUUCCAAGAUAAGUCCCUGGAGAGUCCCCAAAGCUGUGGAAUUGCCUGAGGUUUGGGGAAUAUGGACCAGGGCAGGAGAAGCUUGAGAUCCUGCUCCAAAACUCUUCCAAGUCCUCCCACCCCAUCACCUCCACCCCCUCAUAUCACCUCGGAGACAGUGAGCCACUGGCCCCAAGAAGUGUUACUAGAUGGUUCAUGGAAUAGCAAACAUAGGAAUGAAUAUAUAUUAUCAUAUAUUAUAUCAUA